GAUGAAGAACGUAGCGAAAUGCGAUAAGUAAUGUGAAUUGCAGAAUUCAGUGAAUCAUCGAAUCUUUGAACGCACAUUGCGCCCGCCAGUAUUCUGGCGGGCAUGCCUGUUCGAGCGUCAUUUCAACCAUCAAGCCCCCGGGCUUGUGUUGGGGACCUGCGGCUGCCGCAGGCCCUGAAAACCAGUGGCGGGCUCGCUAGUCACUCCGAGCGUAGUAGUUACAUCUCGCUCAGGGCGUGCUGCGGGUUCCGGCCGUUAAAAGCCUUUUACCCCAAGGUUGACCUCGGAUCAGGUAGGAAAACCCGCUGAACUUAAGCAUAUCAAUAAGCGGAGGA
This 335-nucleotide unclassified non-coding RNA is filed under the name soil metagenome. Its description in RNAcentral is "partial contains 5.8S ribosomal RNA, internal transcribed spacer 2, and large subunit ribosomal RNA". The stretch from base 1 to 120 matches the Rfam family "5.8S ribosomal RNA", at positions 35 to 154 of the family's 154-position model. The record is from RNAcentral.